AUACUCUGGUUUCUCUUCAGAUCGUAUAAAUCUUUCGCCUUUUACUAAAGAUUUCCGUGGAGAGGAACAAUUUGAGUCGUUUACCAAUUUUUUGAGGCUCUGCUUUUUGCAGGGCU
Molecule: small nuclear RNA, 116 nt
Organism: Oryctolagus cuniculus (rabbit)
Lineage: Eukaryota; Metazoa; Chordata; Mammalia; Lagomorpha; Leporidae
Gene: U5
Rfam family: U5 spliceosomal RNA
About the family: U5 RNA is a component of both types of known spliceosome. The precise function of this molecule is unknown, though it is known that the 5' loop is required for splice site selection and p220 binding, and that both the 3' stem-loop and the Sm site are important for Sm protein binding and cap methylation.
Source: Ensembl